AUACGUAGGGUGCAAGCGUUAAUCGGAAUUACUGGGCGUAAAGCGUGCGCAGGCGGUUUUGUAAGACAGUUGUGAAAUCCCCGGGCUCAAACUGGGAACUGCCAUUGUGACUGCAAGGCUGGAGUGCGGCAGAGGGGGAUGGAAUUCCGCGUGUAGCAGUGAAAUGCGUAGAUAUGCGGAGGAACACCGAUGGCGAAGGCAAUCCCCUGGGCCUGCACUGACGCUCAUGCACGAAAGCGUGGGGAGCAAACAGGAUUAGAUACCCUGGUAGUCCACGCCCUAAACGAUGUCAACUGGUUGUUGGGGAUUUAUUUUCUCAGUAACGAAGCUAACGCGUGAAGUUGACCGCCUGGGGAGUACGGCCGCAAGGUUAAAACUCAAAGGAAUUGACGGGG
RNAcentral lists this ribosomal RNA (395 nucleotides) under uncultured bacterium. RNAcentral describes it as "partial 16S ribosomal RNA". It matches the Rfam family "Bacterial small subunit ribosomal RNA", at positions 523 to 918 of the family's 1533-position model. The record is from RNAcentral.